GAUGAACGCUGGCGGUGUGCCUAAUACAUGCAAGUCGAGCGAACGGACGAGAAGCUUGCUCCUCUGAUGUUAGCGGCUGACGGGCGAGUAAGACGUGGAUAAGCAACUUAUAAGACUGGGAUAACAACGGGAAACCGGAGCUAAUACUGGAUAAUAUUUUGAACCGCAUGGAUCAAAAGUGAAAGACGCUCUUGCUGUCACUUAUAGAUGGAGCCGCGCUGCAUUAGCUAGUUGGUAAGGUAACGGCUUACCAAGGCAACGAUGCAUAGCUGACCUGAGAGGGUGAUCGGCCACACUGGAACUGAGACACGGUCCAGACUCCUACGGGAGGCAGCAGUAGGGAAUAUUCCGCAAUGGGCGCAAGCCUGACGGAGCCACGCCGCGUGAGUGAUGAAGGUCUUCGGAUCGUAAAACUCUGUUGUUAGGGAAGAACAUCUGUGUAAGUAACUGUGCACAUCUUGACGGUACCUAAUCAGUAAGCCACGGCUAACUUCGUG
Molecule: ribosomal RNA, 497 nt
Filed under: uncultured bacterium
Lineage: Bacteria
Description: partial 16S ribosomal RNA
Rfam family: Bacterial small subunit ribosomal RNA
Source: RNAcentral